UAAGGUAUAGCUCAAGUGGUAGAGUGUGUGCUUAGCAGGCACAAAGUCCUGGGUUCAAUCCCCAGUAUCUCUU
This 73-nucleotide transfer RNA is filed under the name Camelus ferus (Wild Bactrian camel). It matches the Rfam family "tRNA". From Rfam's summary of the family: Transfer RNA (tRNA) molecules are approximately 80 nucleotides in length. Lineage: Eukaryota; Metazoa; Chordata; Mammalia; Artiodactyla; Camelidae. The record is from Rfam by way of RNAcentral.